AGUGAACGCUGGCGGUAGGCCUAACACAUGCAAGUCGAACGGCAGCACAGAGGAGCUUGCUCCUUGGGUGGCGAGUGGCGGACGGGUGAGGAAUACAUCAGAAUCUACUCUGUCGUGGGGGAUAACGUAGGGAAACUUACGCUAAUACCGCAUACGACCUACGGGUGAAAGCAGGGGACCUUCGGGCCUUGCGCGAUUGAAUGAGCCGAUGUCGGAUUAGCUAGUUGGCGGGGUAAAGGCCCACCAAGGCGACGAUCCGUAGCUGGUCUGAGAGGAUGAUCAGCCACACUGGAACUGAGACACGGUCCAGACUCCUACGGGAGGCAGCAGCGGGGAAUAUUGGACAAUGGGCGCAAGCCUGAUCCAGCCAUACCGCGUGGGUGAAGAAGGCCUUCGGGUUGUAAAGCCCUUUUGUUGGGAAAGAAAUCCAGCUGGCUAAUACCCGGUUGGGAUGACGGUACCCAAAGAAUAAGCACCGGCUAACUUCGUGCCAGCCGCCGCAGUAA
RNAcentral lists this ribosomal RNA (506 nucleotides) under uncultured bacterium. RNAcentral describes it as "partial 16S ribosomal RNA". It matches the Rfam family "Bacterial small subunit ribosomal RNA", at positions 29 to 523 of the family's 1533-position model. The record is from RNAcentral.